This 429-nucleotide ribosomal RNA is filed under the name Bacteroidota bacterium. RNAcentral describes it as "Bacteroidetes bacterium partial 16S ribosomal RNA". It matches the Rfam family "Bacterial small subunit ribosomal RNA", at positions 355 to 776 of the family's 1533-position model. Lineage: Bacteria; Pseudomonadati; Bacteroidota. The record is from RNAcentral.
UAGGGAAUCUUCCGCAAUGGACGCAAGUCUGACGGAGCAACGCCGCGUGAGUGAAGAAGGAUUUCGGCUCGUAAAACUCUGUUGUUAGAGAAGAACAGCGCAUAGAGUAACUGUUAUGCGUGUGACGGUAUCUAACCAGAAAGCCACGGCUCACUACGUGCCAGCAGCCGCGGUAAUACGUAGGUGGCAAGCGUUGUCCGGAUUUAUUGGGCGUAAAGCGAGCGCAGGCGGUCAAUUAAGUCUGAUGUGAAACCCCCCGGCUCAACCGGGGAGGGGCAUUGGAAACUGGUUGACUUGAGUGCAGCAGAGGACAGUGGAAUUCCAUGUGUAGCGGUGAAAUGCGUAGAUAUAUGGAGGAACACCAGUGGCGAAGGCGACUCUUUGGUCUGUAACUGACGCUGAGGCUCGAAAGCGUGGGUAGCAAACAGG